Molecule: ribosomal RNA, 1488 nt
Filed under: uncultured Bacteroidota bacterium
Lineage: Bacteria; Pseudomonadati; Bacteroidota
Description: bacterial SSU rRNA
Rfam family: Bacterial small subunit ribosomal RNA
Source: RNAcentral
AGAGUUUGAUCCUGGCUCAGGAUGAACGCUAGCGAUAGGCCUAACACAUGCAAGUCGAGGGGCAGCAUGGAUGUAGCAAUACAUUCGAUGGCGACCGGCGCACGGGUGAGUAACACGUAUGCAACCUACCUUUUACAAGGAGAUAGCCCGGAGAAAUCCGGAUUAAUACCCUAUAGUACAGAAACUCCGCAUGGGGUUUCUGUUAAAGAAUUUCGGUAAAAGAUGGGCAUGCGUUCCAUUAGCGAGUUGGUGGGGUAACGGCUCACCAAAGCAACGAUGGAUAGGGGAACUGAGAGGUUUAUCCCCCACACUGGAACUGAGACACGGACCAGACUCCUACGGGAGGCAGCAAUGAGGAAUCUUGGUCAAUGGACGCAAGUCUGAACCAGCCAAAUCGCGUGAAGGAUGACAGCCCUACGGGUUUUAAACUUCUUUUAUAAGAGAGUACACCACAUUACGCGUAAUGUGCAGCACGUAUCUUAAGAAAAAGCAUCGGCUAACUCCGUGCCAGCAGCCGCGGUAAUACGGAGGAUGCAAGCGUUAUUCGGAUUUAUUGGGUUUAAAGGGUGCGCAGGCGGUCAGAUAAGUCAGUGGUGAAAUCCCGAGGCUCAACCUCGGCACUGCCAUUGAAACUGUCCGACUAGAGUAUAGACGAAGUAGGCGGAACUCGUUAAGUAGCGGUGAAAUGCAUAGAUAUAACGAAGAACCCCAAUUGCGUAGGCAGCUUACUAGACUAACACUGACGCUCAAGCACGAAAGCGUGGGUAUCAAACAGGAUUAGAUACCCUGGUAGUCCACGCCGUAAACGAUGAUUACUCGUUGUUUGCAAUAUACCGCAAGUAACCAAGCGAAAGCGAUAAGUAAUCCACCUGGGGAGUACGCCGGCAACGGUGAAACUCAAAGGAAUUGACGGGGGCCCGCACAAGCGGAGGAACAUGUGGUUUAAUUCGAUGAUACGCGAGGAACCUUACCCGGGCUUGAAAUGUACUUGACCGGGGUGGAAACACCCCUUCUAGCAAUAGCAAGUAUGUAGGUGCUGCAUGGUUGUCGUCAGCUCGUGCCGUGAGGUGUCGGCUUAAGUGCCAUAACGAGCGCAACCCACAUUGUUAGUUACUAACAGGUAGAGCUGAGGACUCUAACAAGACUGCCGGCGUAAGCCGCGAGGAAGGUGUGGAUGACGUCAAAUCAGCACGGCCCUUACGUCCGGGGCGACACACGUGUUACAAUGGGAGGGACAGCAGGCAGCUACUAGGCGACUAGAUGCAAAUCCGUAAACCCUCUCCCAGUUCGGAUUGGAGUCUGCAACUCGACUCCAUGAAGCUGGAUUCGCUAGUAAUCGCAUAUCAGCCAUGAUGCGGUGAAUACGUUCCCGGGCCUUGUACACACCGCCCGUCAAGCCAUGGAAGUUGGGAGUAUCUGAAGGCUGUGACCGCAAGGAACGGUCUAAGAUAAUACCGAUAACUGGGGCUAAGUCGUAACAAGGUAACC